This 396-nucleotide ribosomal RNA is filed under the name uncultured Anaerovorax sp. Its description in RNAcentral is "bacterial SSU rRNA". It matches the Rfam family "Bacterial small subunit ribosomal RNA", at positions 355 to 769 of the family's 1533-position model. The record is from RNAcentral. Lineage: Bacteria; Bacillati; Bacillota; Clostridia; Peptostreptococcales; Anaerovoracaceae.
UGGGGAAUAUUGCACAAUGGGCGAAAGCCUGAUGCAGCAACGCCGCGUGAGCGAAGAAGGUCUUCGGAUCGUAAAGCUCUGUCCUUGGGGAAGAUAAUGACGGUACCCUUGGAGGAAGCCCCGGCUAACUACGUGCCAGCAGCCGCGGUAAUACGUAGGGGGCAAGCGUUAUCCGGAAUUAUUGGGCGUAAAGAGUGCGUAGGUGGUUACCUAAGCAGGGGGUGAAAGGCAUUGGCUUAACCAAUGUUAGCCCCCUGAACUGGGCUACUUGAGUGCAGGAGAGGAAAGCGGAAUUCCUAGUGUAGCGGUGAAAUGCGUAGAUAUUAGGAGGAACACCAGUGGCGAAGGCGGCUUUCUGGACUGUUACUGACACUGAGGCACGAAAGUGUGGGGAGC